Molecule: ribosomal RNA, 555 nt
Filed under: uncultured bacterium
Lineage: Bacteria
Description: bacterial SSU rRNA
Rfam family: Bacterial small subunit ribosomal RNA
Source: RNAcentral
ACGGGUGAGUAACACGUAAGUAAUCUACCCUCGAGUGGGGAAUAACAACCGGAAACGGUUGCUAAUACCGCAUAAUGCAGCGGCACCGCAAGGUGACAGUUGUUAAAGAUUUAUCGCUUGAGGAGGAGCUUGCGGCAGAUUAGCUAGUUGGUAAGGUAAUGGCUUACCAAGGCUACGAUCUGUAACCGGUCUAAGAGGACGGUCGGUCACACUGACACUGAAUAACGGGUCAGACUCCUACGGGAGGCAGCAGUCGGGAAUUUUGGGCAAUGGGCGAAAGCCUGACCCAGCAACGCCGCGUGAAGGAUGAAGUAUUUCGGUAUGUAAACUUCGAAAGAAUAGGAAGAAUAAAUGACGGUACUAUUUAUAAGGUCCGGCUAACUACGUGCCAGCAGCCGCGGUAAUACGUAGGGACCAAGCGUUGUUCGGAUUUACUGGGCGUAAAGGGCGCGUAGGCGGUGUUGUAAGUCACUUGUGAAAUCUCUGAGCUUAACUCAGAACGGCCAAGUGAUACUGCAGCACUAGAGUGCAGAAGGGGCAAUCGGAAUUCUUGGU